CCUACGGGAGGCAGCAGUGAGGAAUAUUGGUCAAUGGACGAGAGUCUGACCCAGCCAAGUAGCGUGAAGGAUGACUGCCCUAUGGGUUGUAAACUUCUUUUAUAAAGGAAUAAAACGAGGCAAGUGUGCCUUUUUGCAUGUACUUUAUGAAUAAGGAUCGGCUAACUCCGUGCCAGCAGCCGCGGUAAUACGGAGGAUCCGAGCGUUAUCCGGAAUUAUUGGGUUUAAAGGGAGCGUAGAUGGGUUGUUAAGUCAGUUGUGAAAGUUUGCGGCUCAACCGUAAAAUUGCAAUUGAUACUGGCAGUCUUGAGUACAGUUGAGGUAGGCGGAAUUCGUGGUGUAGCGGUGAAAUGCUUAGAUAUCACGAAGAACCCCGAUUGCGAAGGCAGCUUACUAAACUGUGACUGACAUUGAUGCUCGAAAGUGUGGGUAUCAAACAGGAUUAGAUACCCGAGUAGUC
RNAcentral lists this ribosomal RNA (460 nucleotides) under uncultured bacterium. RNAcentral's name for it is "partial 16S ribosomal RNA". It matches the Rfam family "Bacterial small subunit ribosomal RNA", at positions 338 to 795 of the family's 1533-position model. The record is from RNAcentral.